RNAcentral lists this ribosomal RNA (395 nucleotides) under Parablennius rouxi. RNAcentral describes it as "partial 12S ribosomal RNA". It matches the Rfam family "Bacterial small subunit ribosomal RNA", at positions 791 to 1385 of the family's 1533-position model. The record is from RNAcentral. Lineage: Eukaryota; Metazoa; Chordata; Actinopteri; Blenniiformes; Blenniidae.
UAUGCUUAGCCCUAAACUUAGAUAAUUAUACUACACACAUUAUCCGCCCGGGUACUACGAGCACUAGCUUAAAACCCAAAGGACUUGGCGGUGCUUAAUAACCCCCUAGAGGAGCCUGUUCUAGAACCGAUAACCCUCGUUAAACCUCACCCCUUCUUGCCUAUUACCGCCUAUAUACCGCCGUCGUCAGCUCACCCUGUGAAGGAGCCAUAGUAAGCGUAAUUAGACUUACCCCAAAACGUCAGGUCGAGGUGUAGUGAAUGAAGGGGGAAGAAAUGGGCUACAUUUCCUGCUAUCAGGAUACACGGAAAGUGCUCUGAAAAAGGCACUAGAAGGUGGAUUUAGUAGUAAGUGGAGAUCAGAGUGCCCCACUGAAACCGGCCCUUAAGCGCGCA